UGCAGCCGAGCGGUAGAGUUUCUUCGGGAACUUGAGAGCGGCGUACGGGUGCGGAACACGUGUGCAACCUGCCUUUAUCAGGGGGAUAGCCUUUCGAAAGGAAGAUUAAUACCCCAUAAUAUUUAGAAUGGCAUCAUUUUAAAUUGAAAACUCCGGUGGAUAGAGAUGGGCACGCGCAAGAUUAGAUAGUUGGUGAGGUAACGGCUCACCAAGUCUGCGAUCUUUAGGGGGCCUGAGAGGGUGAUCCCCCACACUGGUACUGAGACACGGACCAGACUCCUACGGGAGGCAGCAGUGAGGAAUAUUGGACAAUGGGUGCGAGCCUGAUCCAGCCAUCCCGCGUGAAGGACGACGGCCCUAUGGGUUGUAAACUUCUUUUGUAUAGGGAUAAACCUACCCUCGUGAGGGUAGCUGAAGGUACUAUACGAAUAAGCACCGGCUAACUCCGUGCCAGCAGCCGCGGUAAUACGGAGGGUGCAAGCGUUAUCCGGAUUUAUUGGGUUUAAAGGGUCCGUAGGCGGAUCUGUAAGUCAGUGGUGAAAUCUCACAGCUUAACUGUGAAACUGCCAUUGAUACUGCAGGUCUUGAGUGUUGUUGAAGUAGCUGGAAUAAGUAGUGUAGCGGUGAAAUGCAUAGAUAUUACUUAGAACACCAAUUGCGAAGGCAGGUUACUAAGCAACAACUGACGCUGAUGGACGAAAGCGUGGGGAGCGAACAGGAUUAGAUACCCUGGUAGUCCACGCCGUAAACGAUGCUAACUCGUUUUUGGAUUUUCGGAUUCAGAGACUAAGCGAAAGUGAUAAGUUAGCCACCUGGGGAGUACGUUCGCAAGAAUGAAACUCAAAGGAAUUGACGGGGGCCCGCACAAGCGGUGGAUUAUGUGGUUUAAUUCGAUGAUACGCGAGGAACCUUACCAAGGCUUAAAUGGGAAAUGACAGGUUUAGAAAUAGACUUUUCUUCGGACAUUUUUCAAGGUGCUGCAUGGUUGUCGUCAGCUCGUGCCGUGAGGUGUUAGGUUAAGUCCUGCAACGAGCGCAACCCCUGUCACUAGUUGCCAUCAUUAAGUUGGGGACUCUAGUGAGACUGCCUACGCAAGUAGAGAGGAAGGUGGGGAUGACGUCAAAUCAUCACGGCCCUUACGCCUUGGGCCACACACGUAAUACAAUGGCCGGUACAGAGGGCAGCUACACAGCGAUGUGAUGCAAAUCUCGAAAGCCGGUCUCAGUUCGGAUUGGAGUCUGCAACUCGACUCUAUGAAGCUGGAAUCGCUAGUAAUCGCGCAUCAGCCAUGGCGCGGUGAAUACGUUCCCGGGCCUUGUACACACCGCCCGUCAAGCCAUGGAAGUCUGGGGUACCUGAAGUCGGUGACC
RNAcentral lists this ribosomal RNA (1370 nucleotides) under Chryseobacterium lactis. RNAcentral's name for it is "bacterial SSU rRNA". It matches the Rfam family "Bacterial small subunit ribosomal RNA". Lineage: Bacteria; Pseudomonadati; Bacteroidota; Flavobacteriia; Flavobacteriales; Weeksellaceae. The record is from RNAcentral.